Molecule: ribosomal RNA, 879 nt
Filed under: uncultured Ralstonia sp.
Lineage: Bacteria; Pseudomonadati; Pseudomonadota; Betaproteobacteria; Burkholderiales; Burkholderiaceae
Description: bacterial SSU rRNA
Rfam family: Bacterial small subunit ribosomal RNA
Source: RNAcentral
CGCAGGCGGUUGUGCAAGACCGAUGUGAAAUCCCCGAGCUUAACUUGGGAAUUGCAUUGGUGACUGCACGGCUAGAGUGUGUCAGAGGGGGGUAGAAUUCCACGUGUAGCAGUGAAAUGCGUAGAGAUGUGGAGGAAUACCGAUGGCGAAGGCAGCCCCCUGGGAUAACACUGACGCUCAUGCACGAAAGCGUGGAGAGCAAACAGGAUUAGAUACCCUGGUAGUCCACGCCCUAAACGAUGUCAACUAGUUGUUGGGGAUUCAUUUCCUUAGUAACGUAGCUAACGCGUGAAGUUGACCGCCUGGGGAGUACGGUCGCAAGAUUAAAACUCAAAGGAAUUGACGGGGACCCGCACAAGCGGUGGAUGAUGUGGAUUAAUUCGAUGCAACGCGAAAAACCUUACCUACCCUUGACAUGCCACUAACGAAGCAGAGAUGCAUUAGGUGCUCGAAAGAGAAAGUGGACACAGGUGCUGCAUGGCUGUCGUCAGCUCGUGUCGUGAGAUGUUGGGUUAAGUCCCGCAACGAGCGCAACCCUUGUCUCUAGUUGCUACGAAAGGGCACUCUAGAGAGACUGCCGGUGACAAACCGGAGGAAGGUGGGGAUGACGUCAAGUCCUCAUGGCCCUUAUGGGUAGGGCUUCACACGUCAUACAAUGGUGCAUACAGAGGGUUGCCAAGCCGCGAGGUGGAGCUAAUCCCAGAAAAUGCAUCGUAGUCCGGAUCGUAGUCUGCAACUCGACUACGUGAAGCUGGAAUCGCUAGUAAUCGCGGAUCAGCAUGCCGCGGUGAUACGUUCCCGGGUCUUGUACACACCGCCCGUCACACCAUGGGAGUGGGCUUUACCAGAAGUAGUUAGCCUAACCGCAAGGAGGGCGAU